GUGAAAGAAGAUGUGCUGAUGUCCCCUGCCUCUGUGUGGCUCGUGAGGUUGCUGAAGGAGGGACAGUUGUUUUUCUGCCUAAGACAUCCUGCGUUUCUUGGAACUGCUGUGCAAAUGCAGAGCUAUUCUAUGACCUUGUUAAAGUCCAGAGUGUUGUAUUUUUUCACAAGAAGUCAGGUAAAUGCGGGUGAAAGAGGGAGUAAAGAGGAGCAAAAUGGAGGGUAAAGAGGGAGCAGAUGCUAAUGGCAAGAGAAAACUCAGAUGAAUAUUUACUUAUUCCACAGAAAGCAUCUUUAGUCCUCAUGGAGCUGAUGCUUUCUGAGGUAAUCUCUUCCAUUGUAAGUGGCUGUAAUUUGCAUUCUUUGUUCCCAGAGGCGUUCUCUUGCAUUUGGUUGCAUCAGAACUUAUUUCUUCAUGCAGCAGUCAUGUAAGUAGGCAGUGUAGUUUGGGGUUGACCAGCUUGUGGCUGAACAAAAUUGCCUCUGUGUCACAUCGUCUGCUUCAUCCAGGUAUGGAUCCGUGCUUGGUCACAGAUCGAGGGGCCGUCAAUUGCAGGUGGAUUUUAAGCACUGGGACUUUGUAGGCCAGGGUGGUUUAAAUGCACAGGGCAUGAGUCCUGCCUGUUGUAUCUGCUGAUCUCAUUGACCCUCCUCUGUAACCUGCUUUGUCCUCAUUACAUGAAUUCGUUUUCUGCUGCCUGUAAAAGUUCCCAGCCGAGAGCAUCGCUUCAGCAAAUGCAUGGGGCUUAGCCUCAGACUCCCUCAGGAAGGGAAGGACGUGCAUCCUGCCUGUCCUGUGCAUACGGGGUUCCUCUCCAUGGACUCUUUCCAAGAUGUUGGUCUCCAGAAUGCUCCUGGCUCUGCUCUUCUUGGAAGCAAUGAUGAGACAUCUGUCAGUGUGAGCCCGCAGAGGGAAGCUGAGGUCUGCUCAUGGCUCUAGGAUCCAGUAACUCUUCCUGUAAGAACGUGUGGCUUGGAUGUGAAGAGAUGCUAUCGAUCAGACAAUGGAGGUUGCAGAUGAAGGAGAAAAGGUUGGAAUUAAGCCGACAGCACUCAGCUGCUGUAAGGGGACUGACUUUGUUUGAUGGGCUCUGUCAUCCUCAGGAGGAAACUUUCCUCUACAAAAUGGUGAAAUGGUGCCCACGUGGAAACAUUCUGACUGUGCAUGUGCCUGGAGCCCGGCGUUGUUGCAGAGGAGGAGAGUGGCGUAGGAUGGCUCCAAAGAAAAGAGGGCUGCGUCAGGAAGAAAACCUCCUGCCAUGUCAGCUUGCCCAGACCUUUCUGUGA
RNAcentral lists this long non-coding RNA (1286 nucleotides) under Chrysolophus pictus (golden pheasant). RNAcentral's name for it is "lncRNA (ENSCPIG00010001267.1)". The record is from RNAcentral. Lineage: Eukaryota; Metazoa; Chordata; Aves; Galliformes; Phasianidae.